Cyprinus carpio (common carp) is the source of this 75-nucleotide long non-coding RNA. RefSeq lists it as uncharacterized. The record is from RefSeq and is a predicted model, not a curated record. The transcript has 3 exons. NCBI's taxonomy places the organism in Eukaryota, Metazoa, Chordata, Actinopteri, Cypriniformes, Cyprinidae.
CAGAGACAACACCUCUUAAUGGCACAAGCAAUGGGACCUUGACCCUGCUCGGAUCCGAAACCUGUGAAAGAGGAU